AUACGUAGGGGGCAAGCGUUAUCCGGAUUUACUGGGUGUAAAGGGAGCGUAGACGGCCAUGCAAGUCUGAAGUGAAAGCUCGGGGCUCAACCCCGGAACUGCUUUGGAAACUGUAAGGCUGGAGUGCAGGAGAGGUAAGCGGAAUUCCUAGUGUAGCGGUGAAAUGCGUAGAUAUUAGGAGGAACACCAGAGGCGAAGGCGGCUUACUGGACUGUAACUGACGUUGAGGCUCGAAGGCGUGGGGAGCAAACAGGAUUAGAUACCCUGGUAGUCCACGCGGUAAACGAUGAUCACUAGGUGUCGGCAGGCAUAGCUUGUCGGUGCCGCAGUAAACGCAAUAAGUGAUCCACCUGGGGAGUACGUUCGCAAGAAUGAAACUCAAAUGAAUUGGCGGGG
This 396-nucleotide ribosomal RNA is filed under the name uncultured bacterium. RNAcentral describes it as "partial 16S ribosomal RNA". It matches the Rfam family "Bacterial small subunit ribosomal RNA", at positions 523 to 918 of the family's 1533-position model. The record is from RNAcentral.